UGGGGAAUAUUGCGCAAUGGGCGAAAGCCUGACGCAGCGACGCAGCGUGAGGGACGAAGGCCUUCGGGUUGUAAACCUCUUUCAGCGGGGACGAAGCGAAAGUGACGGUACCCGCAGAAGAAGCACCGGCUAACUACGUGCCAGCAGCCGCGGUAAUACGUAGGGUGCAAGCAUUGUCCGGAUUUAUUGGGCGUAAAGAGCUCGUAGGCGGCUUGUCACGUCGGGUGUGAAAACUUGGGGCUCAACCCCAAGCCUGCACUCGAUACGGGCUAGCUAGAGUGUUGCAGGGGAGACUGGAAUUCCUGGUGUAGCGGUGAAAUGCGCAGAUAUCAGGAGGAACACCGGUGGCGAAGGCGGGUCUCUGGGCAACUACUGACGCUGAGGAGCGAAAGCGUGGGGAGCGAACA
This 407-nucleotide ribosomal RNA is filed under the name uncultured bacterium. RNAcentral describes it as "partial 16S ribosomal RNA". It matches the Rfam family "Bacterial small subunit ribosomal RNA", at positions 355 to 774 of the family's 1533-position model. The record is from RNAcentral. RNAcentral also lists the same sequence under 1 other name.